CCUACGGGUGGCAGCAGUGAGGAAUAUUGGUCAAUGGACGAGAGUCUGAACCAGCCAAGUAGCGUGAAGGAUGACUGCCCUAUGGGUUGUAAACUUCUUUUAUAAAGGAAUAAAACGAGGCACGUGUGCCUUUUUGCAUGUACUUUAUGAAUAAGGAUCGGCUAACUCCGUGACAGCAGCCGCGGUAAUACGGAGGAUCCGAGCGUUAUCCGGAUUUAUGGGGUUUAAAGGGAGCGUAGAUGGGUUGUUAAGUCAGUUGUGAAAGUUUGCGGCUCAACCGUAAAAUUGCAAUUGAUACUGGCAGUCUUGAGUACAGUUGAGGUAGGCGGAAUUCGUGGUGUAGCGGUGAAAUGCUUAGAUAUCACGAAGAACCCCGAUUGCGAAGGCAGCUUACUAAACUGUGACUGACAUUGAUGCUCGAAAGUGUGGGUAUCAGACAGGAUUAGAUACCCCAGUAGUC
RNAcentral lists this ribosomal RNA (460 nucleotides) under uncultured bacterium. RNAcentral's name for it is "partial 16S ribosomal RNA". It matches the Rfam family "Bacterial small subunit ribosomal RNA", at positions 338 to 795 of the family's 1533-position model. The record is from RNAcentral.